This 388-nucleotide ribosomal RNA is filed under the name uncultured bacterium. RNAcentral describes it as "bacterial SSU rRNA". It matches the Rfam family "Bacterial small subunit ribosomal RNA", at positions 28 to 417 of the family's 1533-position model. The record is from RNAcentral.
GACGAACGCUGGCGGCGUGCUUAACACAUGCAAGUCGAGCGGUAAGGCCCUUUCGGGGGUACACGAGCGGCGAACGGGUGAGUAACACGUGGGUGACCUGCCCUCAGCUCUGGGAUAAGCCUGGGAAACCGGGUCUAAUACUGGAUAUGACUCCAUGACGCAUGUUGUGGGGUGGAAAGCCUUGUGCGGCUGAGGAUGGGCCCGCGGCCUAUCAACUUGUUGGUGGGGUGANGGCCUACCAAGGCGACGACGGGUAGCCGGCCUGAGAGGGCGACCGGCCACACUGGGACUGAGACACGGCCCAGACUCCUACGGGAGGCAGCAGUGGGGAAUCUUGCGCAAUGGGCGAAAGCCUGACGCAGCGACGCCGCGUGAGGGAUGACGGCCU